CUACGGGGCGCUGCAGUCGAGAAUCUUCCACAAUGGGCGAAAGCCUGAUGGAGCGACGCCGCGUGAAUGAAGAAGCCCUUCGGGGUGUAAAGUUCUUUUCUAAGGGAACAAUUUUGAUUUAUCAAGAUGAGCGUACCUUAGGAAUAAGGGGUGGCUAACUUCGUGCCAGAAGCCUCGGUAAUGCGAAGGCCCCAAGCGUUAUCCGGAAUCACUGGGCGUAAAGCGCGCGUGGGCGGUUUUAAUAGUGGCUGGUUAAAUUUCAGAGCUUAACUCUGAAGCCGCCAGCCAAACGUUGAAACUAGAGCAAGCGAGAGGCUGAUGGAACUUGCCAAGUAGGGGUGAAAUCCGUUGAUAUGGCAGGGAACACCAAAGGCGAAGGCAUUCAGCUGGCGCUUGGCUGACGUUGAGGCGCGAAAGCGUGGGUAGCGAAUGGGAUUAGAUACCCUGGUAGUC
This 453-nucleotide ribosomal RNA is filed under the name uncultured bacterium. RNAcentral's name for it is "partial 16S ribosomal RNA". It matches the Rfam family "Bacterial small subunit ribosomal RNA", at positions 339 to 795 of the family's 1533-position model. The record is from RNAcentral.